RNAcentral lists this ribosomal RNA (393 nucleotides) under uncultured bacterium. RNAcentral describes it as "partial 16S ribosomal RNA". It matches the Rfam family "Bacterial small subunit ribosomal RNA", at positions 523 to 918 of the family's 1533-position model. The record is from RNAcentral.
AUACGGAGGAUGCGAGCGUUAUCCGGAUUUAUUGGGUUUAAAGGGUGCGUAGGCGGCCUUGUAAGUCAACGGUGAAAUUUUGCAGCUUAACUGUAAAAGUGCCGUUGAUACUGUGAGGCUAGGAUUUGGUUGCUGUGGGUGGAAUGUGUGGUGUAGCGGUGAAAUGCUUAGAGAUCACACAGAAUAUCGAUUGCGAAGGCAGCUCACAAAGCCAAGAUUGACGCUGAGGCACGAAAGUGUGGGGAUCAAACAGGAUUAGAUACCCUGGUAGUCCACACUGUAAACGAUGAUAACUCGCUGUCGGCGAUAUACAGUCGGUGGCCAAGCGAAAGCGAUAAGUUAUCCACCUGGGGAGUACGACCGCAAGGUUGAAACUCAAAGGAAUUGACGGGG